UUUUUCAGCUCCAAUUUAAUCUUAUGGGACCACCAUCGUAAAUACAAGAAGUCGGUGAUUCAUGCGUCAUCAUGCAGCUCACGACUGUCCACAGGAAUGGGUUUGAAAAGAGAUUGCCCAGUGUCUUCAGAUGACUGCAGUCACGACUGACAACUUGGUGCAACUUCAUGAGAGAUGCUGAGCCACAACCACCCAGCUAAGUCAUGUUCACAUUCCUAACCCUCAGAAACUGUGUGAAAUAAUAAAUGUUUAAAUGUUUGUUGUAA
This is a long non-coding RNA of Homo sapiens (human), 266 nucleotides long. RefSeq lists it as uncharacterized. The record is from RefSeq and is a predicted model, not a curated record. The transcript has 2 exons. Lineage: Eukaryota; Metazoa; Chordata; Mammalia; Primates; Hominidae.